UAGCGGGAGGCUUAACNCNUGCNAGUCGAGGGGUAUUGUAGCAAUACAUUAGACCGGCGCACGGGUGAGUAACGCGUAUGCAACCUGCCGUUAACCGGGGGAUAGCCCGUCGAAAGGCGGAUUAAUACCCCAUAAUAUUGGGAUUCUGCAUGGGAUUUCAAUUAAAGCUGAGGUGGUUAACGAUGGGCAUGCGUGACAUUAGCUAGUUGGUAGGGUAACGGCCUACCAAGGCUACGAUGUCUAGGGGUUCUGAGAGGAAGGUCCCCCACACUGGUACUGAGACACGGACCAGACUCCUACGGGAGGNAGNAGUGAGGAAUAUUGGUCAAUGGGCGAGAGCCUGAACCAGCCAUCCCGCGUGCAGGAAGACGGNCCUAUGGGUUGUAAACUGC
Molecule: ribosomal RNA, 392 nt
Filed under: uncultured bacterium
Lineage: Bacteria
Description: bacterial SSU rRNA
Rfam family: Bacterial small subunit ribosomal RNA
Source: RNAcentral